This 888-nucleotide ribosomal RNA is filed under the name uncultured bacterium. RNAcentral describes it as "bacterial SSU rRNA". It matches the Rfam family "Bacterial small subunit ribosomal RNA", at positions 505 to 1397 of the family's 1533-position model. The record is from RNAcentral.
GUGCCAGCAGCCGCGGUAAUACGGAGGAUGCGAGCGUUAUCCGGAUUUAUUGGGUUUAAAGGGUGCGUAGGCGGGCGAUUAAGUCAGCGGUGAAAGCGUGUGGCUCAACCAUACAAUUGCCAUUGAUACUGGUUGCCUUGAGUGUAAAUGAGGUAGGCGGAAUGUGAUGUGUAGCGGUGAAAUGCUUAGAUAUGUCACAGAACCCCGAUUGCGAAGGCAGCUUACCAAGAUACAACUGACGCUGAGGCACGAAAGCGUGGGUAUCAAACAGGAUUAGAUACCCUGGUAGUCCACGCAGUAAGCGAUGAAUACUAGCCGUUGGCGAUAUAUGGUCAGCGGUACAGCGAAAGUGUUAAGUAUUCCACCUGGGGAGUACGCCGGCAACGGUGAAACUCAAAGGAAUUGACGGGGGCCCGCACAAGCGGAGGAACAUGUGGUUUAAUUCGAUGAUACGCGAGGAACCUUACCCGGGCUUGAAAGUUAGUGACGGCAGAAGAAAUUUUGCUUUCCUUCGGGACACGAAACUAGGUGCUGCAUGGUUGUCGUCAGCUCGUGCCGUGAGGUGUCGGCUUAAGUGCCAUAACGAGCGCAACCCUUGUUGUUAGUUACCAUCAGGUUAAGCUGGGAACUCUAACAAGACUGCUACUGUAAGGUAGAGGAAGGUGGGGAUGACGUCAAAUCAGCACGGCCCUUACGUCCGGGGCGACACACGUGUUACAAUGGUGAGUACAGAGGGUUGCUACUUGGCGACAAGAUGCUAAUCUCAUAAAACUCAUCUCAGUUCGGAUUGGAGUCUGCAACUCGACUCCAUGAAGCUGGAUUCGCUAGUAAUCGCGCAUCAGCCAUGGCGCGGUGAAUACGUUCCCGGGCCUUGUACACACCGCCCGU